GUGUGGUUACACAAAACAUUACAUAUCUACCACCUUACUUACCCUUAUAGGCAAGUCUUUUUUAAACACAUAUUUAAACAUUAUUGAUAAAACCAAUAAGAAUCACAUCAAAAUAUCAGGAAGUAAAAAUUCAAUAAUUUAUUAAGCAGGUCUUUAAUACAAUCACUACUACAAUAUUGUAUGUAUGUAAUGGGAGAAAUAAUAAUGCACCAGUGCAUCAAUUGAGAAUGAUUUAUUGAAUAAACAUGUUUUCAUUGGGAAAUAAUUAGGAAAAAAUUUUCCAGCUAUGAGAUUAUAAAGGAAGGAAUACAAGGCUGUUACAUUCAGAAAGUUGUCUUCGUAAGUUGAUUUAUACUAGUAAUGUGUAUUUAUUAUUAUUAAGCUUGUUAUAUCAAAUAUAUUCAAUGUAUACAUCAUUCAACAAAGAAAACAACCUCCCAAAUAUACCAACAGAUCAAUUGUAAUCAAUGAGAUAUUUGUGUAUGGUGAAAUAUUGUUUUUAUUCACCUCAUAUAAUAUGAAAAGUGCUUAGAAUCACAUUGUAUGAUAAUAUUUGAUCACAAUGGGUUAAUAAUAUCCUAUCAUUAUUAAAUGUAACCUUAUUACACUAAAAAAUUAAAAUAGAACUCUUUAAAUAUCAAUGUUUAAUUAGAAAUUAUAUUAUUUCAUACAAUGGUUAUUUAAUCUAUAACCAUUCUUGAUUAAUAAACAAACAUGCAUAUCAUGAAUCUGUAUUGAAAAAAAAAUUCAACCAAUACUUUUAUUUCAAGAUCAAUAACGGAAACUAUGUAUCAUCCCGAACAAACAAAUUGGACAUUAUAUAUAACUAGAAGUUUGAUAAUAUAGAAAGUGUUUUCAUUAAAUUUUGAAACUCAGACAAUUAAUAUUAACAUACCUUUUCCACCUUUUCAAAGUUGCGCAUUUUCA
Molecule: unclassified non-coding RNA, 927 nt
Filed under: Bombus terrestris (buff-tailed bumblebee)
Lineage: Eukaryota; Metazoa; Arthropoda; Insecta; Hymenoptera; Apidae
Description: misc RNA ENSBTSG00005034368.1
Source: RNAcentral